This 497-nucleotide ribosomal RNA is filed under the name uncultured bacterium. RNAcentral's name for it is "partial 16S ribosomal RNA". It matches the Rfam family "Bacterial small subunit ribosomal RNA", at positions 28 to 507 of the family's 1533-position model. The record is from RNAcentral.
GAUGAACGCUGGCGGCGUGCCUAAUACAUGCAAGUCGAGCGAACAGACGAGGAGCUUGCUCCUCUGACGUUAGCGGCGGACGGGUGAGUAACACGUGGAUAACCUACCUAUAAGACUGGGAUAACUUCGGGAAACCGGAGCUAAUACCGGAUAAUAUAUUGAACCGCAUGGUUCAAUAGUGAAAGACGGUUUUGCUGUCACUUAUAGAUGGAUCCGCGCCGCAUUAGCUAGUUGGUAAGGUAACGGCUUACCAAGGCAACGAUGCGUAGCCGACCUGAGAGGGUGAUCGGCCACACUGGAACUGAGACACGGUCCAGACUCCUACGGGAGGCAGCAGUAGGGAAUCUUCCGCAAUGGGCGAAAGCUUGACGGAGCAACGCCGCGUGAGUGAUGAAGGUCUUCGGAUCGUAAAACUCUGAUAUUAGGGAAGAACAAAUGUGUAAGUAACUAUGCACGUCUUGACGGUACCUAAUCAGAAAGCCACGGCUAACUACGUG